This is a non-coding RNA of Serratia marcescens subsp. marcescens Db11, 65 nucleotides long. NCBI's taxonomy places the organism in Bacteria, Pseudomonadati, Pseudomonadota, Gammaproteobacteria, Enterobacterales, Yersiniaceae. The record is from Rfam.
AGCAGGGAGCAUCCACACCAAAAAAGAAUGAGCCGGCGGCGCCAGGAAUAGCGCGGCCGGCAAAC